UAGGAAAUAGUGUAGUGGGAGCACAAAGAGUUUUGCUCUCUUUAGGCGGGGUUCAAGUCCCUUUUUUCUAA
RNAcentral lists this transfer RNA (71 nucleotides) under Sebastiscus marmoratus (false kelpfish). RNAcentral describes it as "tRNA-Gln". It matches the Rfam family "tRNA". From Rfam's summary of the family: Transfer RNA (tRNA) molecules are approximately 80 nucleotides in length. Their secondary structure includes four short double-helical elements and three loops (D, anti-codon, and T loops). The record is from RNAcentral. Lineage: Eukaryota; Metazoa; Chordata; Actinopteri; Perciformes; Sebastidae. RNAcentral also lists the same sequence under 2 other names.